GUCCAGGUAGCCAAAUGGGAAGGCAACGGUGCUGGCACCACCGUGAUAGUGGGUUCGAUCCCCACCCUGGACU
Molecule: transfer RNA, 73 nt
Filed under: Caldilineaceae bacterium
Lineage: Bacteria; Bacillati; Chloroflexota; Caldilineae; Caldilineales; Caldilineaceae
Description: tRNA-Ala
Rfam family: tRNA
About the family: Transfer RNA (tRNA) molecules are approximately 80 nucleotides in length. Their secondary structure includes four short double-helical elements and three loops (D, anti-codon, and T loops).
Source: RNAcentral